UGGGGAAUAUUGGACAAUGGGGGCAACCCUGAUCCAGCGACGCCGCGUGAAUGAAGAAGGUUUUCGGAUUGUAAAGUUCUUUUGUUGGGGACGAUAAUGACGGUACCCAACGAAUAAGCCCCGGCUAACUUCGUGCCAGCAGCCGCGGUAAUACGAAGGGGGCUAGCGUUGUUCGGAAUGACUGGGCGUAAAGGGAGCGUAGGUGGUAUGAUGCAUGCGGUGUGAAAGUCCCGGGCUUAACCUGGGGAUAGCACUACAUAUGGUCAUGCUAGAGGAUGAAAGAGGAGUAUGGAAUUGUGCGUGUAGAGGUGAAAUUCGUAGAUAUGCACAAGAACACCAAAGGCGAAGGCAAUACUCUGGUUCAUAACUGACACUGAGGCUCGAAAGCGUGGGGAGCAAA
This 400-nucleotide ribosomal RNA is filed under the name uncultured bacterium. RNAcentral's name for it is "bacterial SSU rRNA". It matches the Rfam family "Bacterial small subunit ribosomal RNA", at positions 355 to 772 of the family's 1533-position model. The record is from RNAcentral.